RNA transcript from Mus musculus (house mouse), 13191 nucleotides. It is a transcript of the gene named methyltransferase 16, N6-methyladenosine, with no coding region annotated. The transcript is spliced from 10 exons. Lineage: Eukaryota; Metazoa; Chordata; Mammalia; Rodentia; Muridae. The record is from RefSeq and is marked provisional.
UCUGUCCAGUCACGGCGCGGAUUGGCUGCGCAAGAUGGCGGCGCGCUUGGAGCGUAGCAUCUGCGUUUCCAGGAGCUUGGCUGUGUGAGUGGUGUGGGCUUGGUGAUUGCGGGCCUGUCCGCACUCCGUCCGCCUGCUCCAUUGGCCUGCGAGAUGGCUCUAAGCAAAUCAAUGCAUGCAAGAAAUAGAUACAAGGACAAACCACCUGACUUCGCAUAUCUGGCAUCUAAAUAUCCAGAUUUUAAGCAGCAUAUUCAGAUAAAUCUGAAUGGGAGAGUAAGUCUUAAUUUUAAAGACCCCGAAGCAGUCAGAGCUCUGACUUGUACUCUCCUGAGAGAGGACUUUGGACUUUCUAUUGAUAUUCCUUUGGAGAGACUAAUUCCCACAGUCCCCUUGAGACUUAACUAUAUUCACUGGGUAGAAGAUUUGAUUGGUCACCAGGAUUCGGACAAAACUACUCUCCGAAGAGGAAUUGACAUAGGUACUGGGGCAUCCUGCAUCUAUCCCUUACUUGGAGCAACCUUAAAUGGCUGGUAUUUCCUGGCAACAGAAGUGGAUGAUAUGUGUUUCAAUUAUGCCAAGAAAAAUGUAGAGCAGAAUAACCUAUCUGAUCUCAUUAAAGUGGUGAAAGUGCCGCAGAAGACACUCCUGAUGGAUGCGCUUAAGGAAGAGUCUGAGAUAGUCUAUGACUUCUGUAUGUGCAACCCUCCCUUUUUUGCCAACCAAUUGGAAGCCAAGGGUGUAAAUUCCCGGAAUUCUCGAAGACCUCCACCUAGUUCUGUAAACACCGGGGGCAUCACAGAGAUUAUGGCAGAAGGAGGUGAGCUAGAAUUUGUCAAAAGGAUCAUCCAUGACAGUUUACAGCUCAAAAAAAGGUUACGGUGGUAUAGCUGUAUGCUGGGAAAGAAAUGCAGUCUGGCUCCACUGAAGGAAGAGCUUAGAAUCCAAGGGGUUCCUAAAGUCACCUUCACAGAGUUUUGUCAGGGUCGGACAAUGAGAUGGGCCUUAGCUUGGAGUUUUUAUGAUGAUGUCACAGUACCGGUAAGUAAAGAUUUGCCUUGGCGUUUCCAUAUGCCUGUUGUGUGAUAAGCUUCGGUAGACCAUACAUACAGUCUGAUUCUGUGGUGUUCUGUUUUCCUCAAGUUUUAUCCAGAUGUUUAUGGUAAAUGAAAAGUAUUUGUAAAUAAGAGUAAUCCUAGCAUUUAUUAGUUAGAAGUUAAUCAUUGUCUUAGUUUGGGUUUUACUGUUGUAAACAGACACCAUGAUCAAGGCUACUUUUAUAAGGACAACAUUUAAUUGGGGCUGGCUUAUAGAUAGGUUCAGAGGUUCAGUCCGUUAUCAUCAAGGUGGGAGCAUAGCAAUGCCCAGGCAGGCAUGGUGCAGCAGUUGCUGAGAGUUCAACAUCUUGUUCCAAAGGCAGUCAGAAGAAGACUGACUUCCAGGCAGCCCAGACGAGGGUACCCAUGUCCACAGUAACACACUCAAUCUUGAUAGUGCCUCUUGAUAGUGCCACUUCCUGGGCCAAGCAUAUUCAAACCAUCAUAGUCCCACUCCUUGGCCCCCAUAGAUGCUUUCAAACAUGAGUCUAUGGGGGCUAUACCUAGCAUAAUGCAAAAUACAUUUAACCCAACUUCAAAAUGUUUCCAUAGUUUGUAACAGUCUGAACAAUGUUAAAAUUUCAAAGCCUCUUCUGAGAGCCAUCCAAUCACUUAACUGUAAUCCCCAAAGAAAGAUGGGAAACCAGCUGGGCUGUUGUCAGACUCCAAACUCUGCAUCUCCAUGUCUGAUCUCCUAGUCUUGUUUCAUCUUUGUUUUCUUCUUUUUUUGGGGGGUGGGUGGGGUUGAGACAGGGUUUCUCUAUAUAGUCCUGGCUGUCCUGGAACUCACUUUGUAGACCAGGCUGGCCUCGAACUCAGAAAUCUGCCUGCCUCUGCCUCCUGAGUGCUGGGAUUAAAGGCGUGCUCCACCAUGCCUGGCCUGUUGUAACUUUUUUAUUGGGGGGGCUUGAACCCAGUGUCUCGAUCAUAGUGGGCAAAUGCUGUACCCUUACGCUAUACUCCCAGCUCUGUGGCUAUGUCCUUUUCGUGUGUAACACUUUGGGAUUGUGCUAAUCUCAGUAAAAGGCUCUGGUUCAUGUUUCAUAAUUACCAUUAGAAAGUGUAUGUAGGUAGCAUGUGCCAGUAGUCCCAAGGAGCCAGCCUCAGACAGAGAGAGCAGCUGGGAUUGUGGCUCAGUAGGUAAGAGUGCUUUCUGCUUUUCCAGAGUGGAGUUCAGAUCUUAAACCCCACAUCUGACAGGUCACAACACCAGAAACUACAGCUCCAGGGGCUCCAGUACCCUCCUGGUCUCCAUAUGUACCUGCCUGAGUGUGUGCAUGUGCACAGAUGAGUGCAUGUGUGUAUGCUCACAUGUGCACAUGCACACACACAAACACACACAAAAGCCACUCAUUUUUAAGAUUUAUUUAGUUUAUGUAUAUGAGUGGACUAUCUGCAUGAACACCUGCAUGCCAGAAGAGGGCAUCAUAUUCCAUUAUAGAUGGUCAUGAGUUACCAUGUGGUUGCUGGGAAUUGAACUCAGGACCUCUGGAAGAGCAGUCAGUGCUCCUAAAUGUUUAGCCAUCUCUCCAGCUCAAAAGCCACAUCUUUAUUUAUUAUUUAUUUUAUAAGAUUGGUUCCCAAAUUUCUCUCUCUCUCUCUCUCUCUCUCUCUCUCUCUCUCUCUCACACACACACACGCACACGCACACGCACACGCACACAGACUGAGUGGUUUCUGAGCCUCCCUGGGAAGUGAUGGUAAGCAGCACCUGUCUGUUCUUAUAUGUCCCUGCAAGAGUGGUCUGCUUUUUGUUGCCUGGAGCCACACAUUCUAACCUUUGCUCAGCUAUUCAGCUCUUCUCAUGGUGUGUAUGGAGGCUAGUAGGGGUUCUUGCAGGUCUCUAUCCGGGUCUGUAUAGCAGGCUUGUUUUGGGAGUGUCUCUUCUAAGGAUUUGGCCAUUCUUGUCUUCAGAGGUAUCCAAAAUGUUGUUGUCUUUGAGAUUCUGUUGCUAUAGACAAAGAGGUAGAUGUGUGUGGGAGCACAGAGGGACGAUUUGCAUAUGCUUCCAUGUUUCUGAACAUAUGAAGUGCGAUUUGAAGCUGAGCCAACAACUAGUUGUACUGCAGGAUUGAAAUUGCUCCUAUAGAGUGUCCUUUCUAUGGAAGCCUGGGUUUGCUUCCAGAUUUUUGGCAGGGCACCUAAAGCUUAGUGUUUGAUUUGAUCACUAAUUAAAAAGAUGCCUCUGCUUUCCAUAGCUCCACCCUCCUUCAAAUAUUAUCCUAUUGUUUUCUAGACUACUAGGAUCUGAACAGCAGAUGGUUCAAAUCAUUAGCAGUGCCCCAAACUGUCCCCAUACAGACACAAACAGCUGUGGGAAAUCGAAGCAGCACCUGCUUCCAAGAGUGUCUGCAUUUUUUUUUUUUCAGAGACAGGGCUUCUCUGUAUAGCCUUGGCUGUCCUGGAACUCACUUUGUAGACCAGGCUGGCCUCGAACUUAGAAAUCCGCCUGCCUCUGCCUCCCAAGUUCUGGGAUUAAAGGUGUGCUCCACCAUCACCCAGCGAGAGUGUCUGCUUAACCUGCAGCCCACAUUUUUGACACAGCUGGAACAAGCUCAAAAUGGGCUCUGAUACUCCCCGAAGCAGCUCAGGGACAUAUUCCUUUGCCCUCUUUGAUUGAGGGAGUCAUCACAGAUGCUAGUGUUGAAGGGCAAGUGUCUUUUUGCAAAGUCAGCGUCUAUCUAUCUAUCUAUCUAUCUAUCUAUCUAUCUAUCUAUCAUCUGUCUGUCUGCUUGCUUAGAAAAGGAAACCAUGAACAGCCUUUCUCCUUUUCAUGGUAUCUUAUAGCCUUGCAGUUUCUAGCCAUCAAAGAAUGCCACUCAAUAAAGGCCUGAGAUUCCUUCCUUGCUACACAGUAUUUUUCCCUCCACACCACUGCCAUCACCCCUAAGCUGCUAAUAAUGCAUUCCCCAGUGUUCUAUUAGAUGCACUGAAACUGCUGGGUGUCUAUGUGUGGCAGUUUCUGAUUUGUAGUAACCCAGCAACAGUUUCUCAGCACUGGCGCUCAUGAUCAACGAUGGCCUUUCCCCAGGGUAGAUCCAGGUUACUCAGGAGAUUUCGGGUUGACCUUCCUCUUGGUUCCCCUGCCUUGUGGGAAGCUCACCUGACACUCCUUUCUUGAUCUUGUUAGGGAGCGGGCAGGAGGAGAAUGCUCUUUCAGUCUGGAGAGGAAGACAUGGAGUAGACCUGGUUAAGCAGAAACACUGACCUACUUCCCCAUCUCCAGCCUGCCGUUUAGCGUGAUGUGCAAGUUCCUAUGUCACCUCCAAGUAAACGAAGAAAAUUAGAAAAGCCAAGGAAACCCAUUACUUUUGUAGUGUUGGAGUCUGUGAUGAAAGAAUUGUCUCUCAAAGCUUCAUCUUUGGGCUCCGAGACAGCGGAAGGCAUAGUGGUUGUAACAACAUGGAUAGAAAAGAUCCUGACUGAUCUGAAGGUGCAACAUAAGCGAAUUCCCUGUGGAAGAGAAGAAGUUAGCCUUUUCCUGACAGCCAUAGAAAACUCUUGGAUUCAUUUAAGGCGGAAGAGAAGAGAGCGAGUGAGGCAGCUGCGGGAGGUGCCUCGGGCUCCUGAGGACGUCAUCUUAGCCUUGGAAGAGAGAAAGUCCACUCCCAAAGAGCUGAGUAGUGGCCAAGACGUGGCCCACAGCCCCCAAGAGAGUGCCCUGUGUGGGCUUGAUGUGCCGGGCGGCGAGGCUGCUGCUGAUGGAGGCCAUUGCCUCAGCCAGAAGUUACUGUGCCAGGAGGAGACUCCCGAGGCCACGGAGGAUGAAAGGGAUGAGGAAAGGGGAGGGAUGGAGGCCAUGGAAAGUUGUAAAGGCUCCAGCAAUGGAGCCCAGGACGGAGAGGCUUCUGAGAAGGGGGAUCGCCUGGAUGGGGCGGCCGGACGCUACCUGUUUAAGUGUUUAGUCAACAUUAAGAAGGAAGCUGGCGAUGCCGUGGUUGAAAUGCAUUGGGUUGAGGGCCAGAAUAGGGAUUUGAUGAACCAGCUUUGCACUUACGUACGUAACCAAAUUUUGAGGCUUGUUGCUAGUUAAUUCUUAAUUUCUUCCUCAGUUAGAAAAGUGAUGUAUGGGGCUAGGGAUAUGAUGCAAUGACCUUAUGUGCUUAGUAUCCAGAAGUUACCCUGUGUUGAGUCCCUUACAUCUAACAUCAUUACAAGGAAAAAAAAAACCCAUAUUAUAAAAUAGCUUGCUUUGGAGGUAGAGCCUAUUGGGAGGCCAGCAGAAUUUCACCACUGGUCCAUGAGUGACACCAUGUGGAAUCUUCUUUAAAAAACACAAAUUUAGUUGGAUGUGCUCUGUGGCACUUGUAACCCCACUACUUGGAGGCAAAGGCAGGAAGAUGGCUAUGGGUGUAAGGGCAGCCUGUGCUACAGAGACAGACACUCGUCUAAAUAAAAAGAAGGAAAAAGGAAAGCAGCAGUGGAUCCAUUUUUAACCCUUGCCCUCUUCACAGCAGCUAAACCUAGGAGGAGCAGAUCAUCGCAGCCAAAGGCCAGAGGGGCUCUGGUGGCAUCUGGUGUGGGUCAGGGCUGCCUAGAAAGUGUCUGUCACCAAGGGUUGCUUGGUGACAAGGGCAACAGUGUUCUCCAGUGGAGGUCCUGCUCAUGGCUGCCUUCAAGAUAUCUGCUUUCUCAAGGAAACAGAAUUGAGCGAGCUGGUUCCCAGAAAGGAGCUAGCCUGUUGAUAGGUGACGAGAGUGUCAGGGAGAGUCAUCUUAGUCGAGCCAAGGAGAGGGCCUGUCUGGGGAACACACAGGAAGCUGCACGUUCAUCGCCCACCACUAUUCUGACAUUGCCUAUUUCAGAACCAGAGUUGAAUAAGCAAAACUCUGAGAUGUAGCUGAGGCACAAUAAAGUGUACCCACCAACCCACCGACAGCAUUGUUUUGUAACAAUUGUACUGCCUUUUUUUUUAAAUGUGAAAUGGAAUCUUUUGGUUUUUAAUAUAAGACUUAAUAAUUGAAAACUAUUGAUCCUGUUUGAAUCCUGGAAUUGGGGAAAUACUUUCUUGGGUUUAAGUUGGGUAGAUGGUUGAUGUGACAAAUGAGGAACUAAGUAAGGUCUAUGUGUACUAGGUGGGGUGUAGGGGGUCACUGGUAGAACGUUCAUCAAUGUUUGUAGGCCCCGAGUUCCAUCCUCAGAACAAUAGAAAACAGGUAUUGGUGUGGUGUAGACUGGAAUCUUCUAUGUUGACAGUUAAUUGUUGACCAAAUCCUGCUUUUUUGGUGGCUGCCCUUGUCACUCUCUUACUGCUCAUCUGCUAACAUUGGACAAUACUGUGCCCAGAGUAACCAUAUGUGAAACACAUUUCUAAUGGGAAUGCCAGGGUUCUGCAGAUCUCUUUGGAGAAGUCUCAGCUUUGUUCUUCUGUGUCUCAGAAACAGUCUGUUGUACUGGAUUCUUGACUUGCUGCCUAGGGUUCAUAGGGACAAACUGGUAUCGCUCCUGAUACAGUGCCUGAGCUCUUCGGCAUCCAUAAAGUAGUUAAGCUCCAUUUUCAGAGGUGGCUAUACUUUUUGGCAAAGGUAUAAGGAAAUGUAAAUAGUGCAGUGGGGUUGAAAGCUGGGAAAGAACAUUUUAGCCAUGGUCUUCCAGAGAUGCUAGGAGCAUGUUUUCUUCCCACAACCCUUCCCCCUGGAGAUCUGAUCUAUGACAUUGUGAUCAGAAACCAACUUAGGAAAAAAACACUGUUCUAGACAAUUUAUCCAUCCAUUGGACAGCAUGAAGAAACCAAUAUCAUAAACUGUUCCAAGAUUGAAUUCACGGCCUUAGAUUGCCUACAUCCAGUAAUUAUGUCUAUUUGGGAGUAUGUGUAUGUGAGUGCAGGUGCUUGCAGAGGCAUCAGAUCCCCUGGAGCUGAAGUUCCAGGCAACUGUGAGCUACCUGGUAUGGGUGCUGGGAACCAAACUUGGGUCUCUGCAAGAAUAAUUCAUACUCUUAGCCAACUAGCCAUCUCCCUAGCCCCUGUUGUUGCUUUUGAGACAGGGUCUCAUGUAUCCUCAGACAUGAUGUGUAUCUGAGGUUGAAUUUAACAUCCUUUUCUUCCAGUAUCUGUAUCCUUUGUGCUGGAAUUACAAGUCAGAGUUAUGUGGUACUAAUGCUCCAGUGAACCUGGGACUUCUGUGUGCUAGGCAAAUGUUCUCCCAACUGAGCUGCAUCCUCAGUCGUCAAAUCUAGUUUCCUUAAUGAAAUCCUGGGAUCUCUGAGCUCAGUGGCAGUUAAGUGCCAGAGAACCUGGCAGAUAUUUAAUAAAUAAUAAAUGUUUGUUUCAUCAUAGGUUAGCAGAUGUUCAAUGAUUUUGAAACAGAAAUGGCUAGAGGUGCAAUUGUAGUAGAACAUUUGCCUAGCAUGCACAGGGCCCUGAAUUCAAUCCUUAGCACUGCAGAACACACAAGUUACCUAGGAGAUUGGCCUUCUAGCGGCUAAUAGUAUUUUCAUGUUUUCUCCUGGUCUUUCUGUAGGUGUAUGUGGUUAUUUUGAGUUGUAUUAUUUUGUUUAAUUUUCUGUUGUACUUUUUGUUUAGCUUAGAUUUUUUUCAUGUUUUUAUAAUUAUGUAUUUUUUUUACACAUUUUGCCCAUUUAAAAUGCCCUUCCAGCACAGUAUUGACUUUUGAUUAUGUCUAGUUGUUAGAGAACACUCUUUGUUACUGGAGUUAGAUAAGUUGAAUCUGCAUCUGUGUUUCGUUCCUAGGGUUGAGACUCUAAUGGAGAAGGCUGUAUAGAUGCUAAGAUAAUGUUCCUAGAAUUUGAAAACGUUUGACAAGAGCAGUAUCGCUAUGGUCUUUAAAAAAAACUAGAGCUAUGAGUAUCUUUGCAUUUUUGAUUGCCUUUUUUUCUUACAUUGUCUAAUGAGAUGACAUUGUUUUGUUUCAUUUCUCAAGACAAGCUUUCUCUGUAGCCUUGACUCUCCUGAAACUCACUCUGUAGACUAGGCUGGCCUUGAACUCACAGACAUCUCAGUGCUGGAAUUAAAGGUAUGUGCCGCCACCACCUGGCAACAUUGAAGACAUUUUAAAGGGACAUCUGAGGGUCUGGUCAUAUAUGUGCUUUAUAAUUGAAGAGAAGUUUUUUAAAGAAAUGAGUUAAGUGCUGUGGUAUAGAAUGACUCUCUGCUUAAGUGUCUAGAGUCAAGUUUGUGUUGGUGCUGGUGGAUUGAUAUGAAAUUAAAUCUUUGUGGUAUUAUCUUAAAUUCUAUUCUGGUCCCUGGAAUUGGCUUCUGAUCUCCUGAUAGCUAAAGUGGGAACAGAAGCUGAACUUGUUUUCCAGUGAGAACUAAAGUGCUUUUGUUUAGAAUCUGCUGGGUUUUGUCAGUGUGGUUCCUUCACCCCAUCUGUGCUCAGUUGUUCCUACAUUAGAGCUUUGCUGUACUUUGAGACCAAGUUGGCAACUCUGAGGAGGACUUUGUGCUAACCUUAAGUGUUCAGGUCGAUUAGUUAAUUUUAGAAAACAAACCCUUCCAUUUCAUGAUGGAAAUCAAAGCUGCUGUGGUCCAAUAGGAGUAACUGGCCAGGUGUGGAAAGAUGUGAAAGUCCCAUGCAAAGGCAGCCCAAGGCCAUUUUGUUUUAUUUUGUUUGGGUUUUGAAACAGGGUCUCAUUCAUUCAGGCUGGCCUCGAACUUUUGAGGUAGCCAAGGCAGGCACUUAACUCCUGGUUCUCCUGCCACCACUUGCGCAGUUUCUGGGCUUACAGAUGUUGCCAUCUUAUGUGGUUUUAUGUGGUUCUGGGGAUUUAACCCAUGCCUUUGUUAGUGUAGGGCAAGUCCUGUACAGCCUGAGCCUCAUCCCUUAUCAGAGAAGGGAGUAAAUGCUGGCUGUGAUGACCUCCUUGUAAGCUCAGCAUGUGGGGAGUGGAAGGCAGGCUGAGGUCAGAGUUGCUCUUGCCUCCAUUGUGAGUUCAGGGCAGAGGGAGUUGUGUGAGAGAGAUGCUGUCUGUCUUCAUAGCUUUCUUAACUUGCAGCACUUUUCUUCUGGAACCACACGGGGGCACCUUCAGAUCCUUUAAUCAUGAUCCUGAACUUUACUGUGAGAGUGGAUCAAGUUAUAUCCAUAUCUGUGGAAUUUUCUUUAAAUAUCCAGUUGUAUCCAGAGAAGUACUUAUGUAAGCAGGUAUAUUUUCACACAAAAAAAAUUUAAAUGGGAGUAUAAGGAAGAAUAACAGUUACUCCCUGCAGUCUUUAUUUGGCCUGAUUCCUUUUAAAUGUUCUGUGUUUUUAGUCUCGCCUGAGCAGUUUUUCUCUUUUACACCCCUGUUGACUCUAGAAUAUACUCAGAUUGGACCUGUCUUUUGGAUCCAUUUCUUUUCUUCUUUUUUAUUUUUUUUAAAAGAUUUAUUUAUUUAUUAUAUGAGUACACUAUAGCUGUCUUCAGACACUCCGGAAGAGGGCGUUAGAUCUUGUUACGGAUGGCUGUGAGCCACCAUGUGGUUGCUGGGAUUUGAACUCGGGACCUUCGGAAGAGUAGUUGGUGCUCUUAACUGCUGAACCAUCUCACUAGCCCUGGAUCUAUUUCUUAAAUUGUUGUGGGGUUAAUGAGGAUCCUGGGGAAGGGGUGGUAGUAACUGGUCAAAAGCUCAAUGCUCCAGGACUGGUAAGAUAGAUCUCCUAGAGAAAUGAGUUUCCAUCUUGCUCUGAGUGUGAUCUUAUUGGCAGGCUAACAUGCAUGUGAGAAGUUACUCGUAGGAAGAGUGGUGUGGGUUCUCUGUUGUUUGUUUCUAUAAACUAGCUGGGCCUUUUUUUCUUAAGGAUGUUUCUGUAUAGGUUAGAACGUGCAUAUGACUAGCCCUGUAUGGUUGUAGGCUCAAGGAGAAACUCUUUGUCUCUUUAUGGUACAAGGUCAGGGUCAGCAGUGACCCUUGCAUGCUGUUUACAAACUUUAGUUACUGCUCCUUGAGUAUGGAGGCGUCUUGGGCACCAUCGGGAGUGCCCUGAGGAAGGGGAGAAGGGGAUGUGUUUACAUUGUUUUUAGGGAGUUUGUUGCUCUGAAGAUUUCAUUUGCUGAAUGGCCAUCUCCUCAGUAAAGUCUUGUCAUGUUCAUUAAUAGAACAAUUGGCCUUUGCCUCUUAAAGGAAGCAUUAAUGGUUUUGAAAGGUGCUAAUCAUCCCAUGUGCCUUGUGUGGGUACCACUGUAGUGUUAAAAUGCCUGGCUCAGGGUACUCAGAGCAAUAGAGCUUACACAUGCCUAAGAUCCUGUUCUGUUCUGGAAAGAUCUGCUGUGACUCACUCAAAUGACUAAAACAGUGGUUCGUUUCUUUAAUUGCUGGUUGGAGCAACUAAUGCUGCCUUUGUGAAUCUGUGCUUUUACCCUGGGAAACUAUGUUGUGACUGAGUGAAGACCUCGUAUGUCUUUGGGAUAUAGGCUAUCUGGCUGUCUGAGUCCAAGCAAGAAAGCUCAGGGCCUCUAGGCUCUCCUUGGGAGAUAGAAGAUCAUGGGUGUUCCUUAGCAACAGGGAAAGUGAACAGGAGAGCAAGGUACAGGGCUGAAGUUCAGCUGCACUUGGCAGAAGUGGCUUGGAAGUAAGCUCAGAGGAGGGCAAGCUUGUACUCCAGGUACUGUUCACCCAGGGCAGGGAGCAGUGGGAGAGCGCAGCUUGGCAGCCUCUCAGCACUGGGUUAGCAGUGCUGUUCCACUCCUUAUAUAGGGCACCAGUUUGACUGGGCUUCGGCCUCUGGAGAGUGAGACGUGAGAGCGCCCUGCCUGCGGGAGGACUCAACAGCAGGGGACUUCAGACACAGCAGGGGACUUCAGAAACAGCAGGGGACUUCAGAAACAGCAGGGACUUGAGACACAGCAGGGACUUCAGACACGAUGACAUUUCAACUUGUGUCCUCUCCUCACUGUGUGGAGAGUCGUAGAGCUUUGUCAGAAACUCUCCUGCUGUUGGUCUCAGGUGAGAAGGUUAAGACCUUGAUUAAACCUUUAAGGGUAGGUAGGCAGCUGUAGAGUACUGCUUAUGGACCAAGAGCAAAGCCACCUUGUGUGUCAUGAAAUGAUCAGGAACUGACCAUUGGUAGUACAUCUUCCAUAGAGAUUGUCUCAUGUAGUCACCCUAUUAGGUGUUGUCGUAUCCCUGCGUGGCUGCUGAAAGCAACAGAAGCUUCAAGACCUUCCGUAACUUACCCUAAUGUUAUUGACUGAGCCAAGGCACAGAAGCAGGAUUUGAACUCAGGUCCAAGAAGCUAAAGGCUGGGCUCUAGCACCAAAUAUAGAAAUGCUAUGACAAAUAAUUCAUAUAAGGAAAAAAUGCAUUUUUAAGUCUGUUUCCUCCACCUCUACGUUAUUACAUGGCACAGGGAAGCCAGAACAAACACGGUUUUCCCACCCUCACAGUUCAGCACUUAAAGUAGUAUCAUUUACUUGCCUAUGUCAGUGAGUGAGAUCUAGUAAGUGAAAUUAGUUACUUCUUAACUUAUGCCACCAAAUCUUCACAGAGCCUUGUAUUUGGCAGUAAUGUAGAUAAUUAAGUAGCUAAUGAAACCAUAAAAUCAGUGUCUGGUGAAAGCACGUUGGACCAGAAUCAAUGUGAAAUAAGUGAUAAUUAGGUAAUGCCUCUUCAACAGUACAUAAUUAUAUAAUAAUAGAAGGAGGUUUUGUUCUGUUUUAAACACUAUAGUUCCAAAUAUUUUACUAUGGAGCUACACAAAACCCAUACAUAUGCUUUGUAAGCUUGCCAUUGAAGGUAGGAUUGACACAAGAUCAUCAAGUUCUUUUCCUAGGAAGGCAAGAGAAACUGUAGGUUUGAGAGCCACAGGGGCCUUGGAGUCUAGAAGGAAAGCCAGGUAUUCCCAGCUGGGGGACUUGGCUAGAUGCUGUAGCUACUAGACCCCCAGAGGAGGUGACAGCUUGUUUUGCUAAUUGUUCAAAAGAGCAGCCUACCUGGAGAGCGGGACCCUCUAGGGAUGGUAGUUUCCUGAUGAUGCAGAAAGAGCAGGUGUAGACACAACACAACAAGAGAACCUGUAUGGGGCUGUUUUCAGAAGAAGGUAGAGUGGAAAAUGGUGCCAUCAGCAGUUCAGGGGAGAUUAAACAAUGAUACCUCAGAGAACAAAGCAGAGGCAACCUUCCCCUCCAAGACACUUCCUCCAAGACUGGCCACCACAUCUCCAGCCUUUCACUUAUCAAGUUUUCAUAUUUAAGAUUUAGGAAAUGAGUAAGCUACAAUUCCAUCACUCAAGUGAAAUUUCAUUUCGUUGUGUUUGUAUGCAUAUGCAUUUUAAACAACUGUGGGAUCAGUCAUUGUACAGUAUACUUCUAUAACAUAUUUAGCAGUAUAUUGUAAUGUCUCCCCCCCCCCCCUUUCUGAGUAUAAGGCUAAUAGUCUGUUUUAGGAAAGCUGUGGAAAUCAGAAUGACCAGUACCCACCCUGCCCGAGGCCAGCCACUGCCACUUCUGUCCCAGCAAAAAGCCUGCUCGUUAUAUGCUCCAGUGUGUUUUGAACACACCGCACUAAGCUGGUUGUUCCUAGUUGGAAAUGUUGAUUGUCAUGAAAAAGGAUUUCCUUGUUGUAAAAAAACAUUUUACCAUAUGUCCUUGAAAGUUUUAAUGUAGUUUUUUGAGGGUUAAAUUUGCCUGGAGUUUCCAAGGCAGAGAGUUCCACCCCCUUACUUUGCCCACUGGAAAGGGUCUGGGGUAACAUACACUUCCAUGAACGAUUGGCUGGUUUUGCCAUACCUUUGAUAGUGAUAGGAUGCUGAUUUUUAAUUUCAGUUGGGCCUGACUGUCUGCAUCUGUAAGUGUUAGUGCCCUUGGAGGCCGGAAAUGGAAUGAGCUGCAGGACAUGCAUGCUAGGAACUAAACUCAGUCCUGUGCAAAAGUAGCUCUCUCUGCACCAUCUCUCCAGCCCCAGAGAGCUAUUCUAAAAAGAUUAUCAAUUGGAAAAAAAAAAUGUGUCAUGUUUGAAUCUUAUUAUGGAACUGACCAGUGUCGUCUUCAGCUGUGUCUGUUGUUAUUUCACGGAUAGAUCUUAAAAUGUUAGCUUUAUGUCUGUUAACUAUUGAAAAUGUCUUUUGCAAGGAUUCCUUCCACUUGUGAUUUCUUCCCCCUCCUCUUUGUAAUGAUGGUUUCAUUUUUACAGUUAAGAUUUUCUAGGGAUAAUCAAA